CCCUUAGACGUUCUGGGCCGCACGCGCGCUACACUGACUAGUCCAACGAGUGUUUGUACCUUUGCUGAUAGGCAUGGGCAAUCUCUGAACGCUAGUCGUGCUAGGGAUCGAUUUUUGGAAUUAUUAAUCGUCAACGAGGAAUUCCUAGUAAACGCGAGUCAUCAGCUCGCAUUGAUUACGUCCCUGCCCUUUGUACACACCGCCCGUCGCACCUACCGAUUGAAUGGUGCGGUGAAGCCUCCGGAUUGGACAUGUCGGCCCUGCCGCGUGUCCGAGAAGUUGGCUAAAUCUUACCAUUUAGAGGAAGGUGAAGUCGUAACA
RNAcentral lists this ribosomal RNA (321 nucleotides) under uncultured eukaryote. Its description in RNAcentral is "partial 18S ribosomal RNA". It matches the Rfam family "Eukaryotic small subunit ribosomal RNA", at positions 1470 to 1796 of the family's 1831-position model. The record is from RNAcentral.